UAGGAAUGUACUGGGCAACAUGAUUAAUUAACACUGCUCUGUGUUAUAUAUGAAAGUUGUUAAGAGAGUAAUUCCUAAGAGUUCUUAUCACAAGGAAAAAUAUUUCUUUUAUUUUUCUUUUAUUAUGUAUCUGG
This is a long non-coding RNA of Aethalodelphis obliquidens (Pacific white-sided dolphin), 134 nucleotides long. RefSeq lists it as uncharacterized. NCBI's taxonomy places the organism in Eukaryota, Metazoa, Chordata, Mammalia, Artiodactyla, Delphinidae. The record is from RefSeq and is a predicted model, not a curated record. The transcript has 3 exons.